Molecule: ribosomal RNA, 396 nt
Filed under: uncultured Methanosaeta sp.
Lineage: Archaea; Methanobacteriati; Methanobacteriota; Methanomicrobia; Methanotrichales; Methanotrichaceae
Description: bacterial SSU rRNA
Rfam family: Archaeal small subunit ribosomal RNA
Source: RNAcentral
CAAUAUGAAGGUCAGGCUGAAGACCUUACCCGAUUAGCUGAGAGGUGGUGCAUGGCCGUCGUCAGUUCGUACUGUUAAGCAUCCUGUUAAGUCAGGCAACGAGCGAGACCCACGUCCACAGUUGCCAGCAUACCCUCCGGGGUGAUGGGUACACUGUGGAGACCGCCGCUGCUAAAGCGGAGGAAGGAGUGGGCAACGGUAGGUCAGUAUGCCCCGAAUCUCCCGGGCUACACGCGGGCUACAAUGGUUGGUACAAUGGGCAUCUACCCCGAAAGGGGAAGGAAAUCUCUUAAAGCCAAUCGUAGUUCGGAUUGAGGGCUGCAACUCGCCCUCAUGAAGCUGGAAUCCGUAGUAAUCGCGUUUCAACAGAACGCGGUGAAUACGUCCCUGCUCCUU